This 549-nucleotide ribosomal RNA is filed under the name uncultured bacterium. RNAcentral describes it as "bacterial SSU rRNA". It matches the Rfam family "Bacterial small subunit ribosomal RNA", at positions 304 to 843 of the family's 1533-position model. The record is from RNAcentral.
UCAGCCACACUGGAACUGAGACACGGUCCAGACUCCUACGGGAGGCAGCAGUGGGGAAUUUUGCGCAAUGGGCGAAAGCCUGACGCAGCAACGCCGCGUGAGUGAUGAAGGCUUUCGGGUCGUAAAGCUCCGUCAAGGGGAAAGAAGUGUAUUGUGGUUAAUACCCAUGGUACUUGACGGUACCCCUAAAGGAAGCACCGGCUAACUCCGUGCCAGCAGCCGCGGUAAUACGGGGGGUGCAAGCGUUGUUCGGAAUUAUUGGGCGUAAAGCGCGUGUAGGCGGUUUGUUAAGUCUGAUGUGAAAGCCCUGGGCUCAACCCAGGAAGUGCAUUGGAUACUGGCAGACUUGAAUACGGGAGAGGGUAGUGGAAUUCCUGGUGUAGGAGUGAAAUCCGUAGAUAUCAGGAGGAACACCGGUGGCGAAGGCGGCUGCCUGGACCGAUAUUGACGCUGAGACGCGAAAGCGUGGGUAGCAAACAGGAUUAGAUACCCUGGUAGUCCACGCCGUAAACGAUGAGUACUAGGUGUUGCGGGUAUUGACCCCUGCAG